RNAcentral lists this long non-coding RNA (307 nucleotides) under Brassica napus (rape). RNAcentral's name for it is "long non-coding RNA (BNAP_LNC025812)". The record is from RNAcentral. Lineage: Eukaryota; Viridiplantae; Streptophyta; Magnoliopsida; Brassicales; Brassicaceae.
UACUUACGAGUAUGUAUGUGGGCCAUUAAGUUACAUACGAUCAGAGACGAAGCACCUUCUACGCACAAUCAUAUUCAUAGCUUAGCACGUGAAGCCACGUCUUUUCUUUUUCACUUUACCUAAACAGCCUUUACCUAUUUACUAUACUGUCCCGCUACUUUUUUGAUUAUUUCUUUUAUUAAUCAGGUGUUAUUUAUUUGCAAUAAAUAUACAUAUAUAUAUAUGUAUAGAAGUGGGGAUAUAUAUGUAUAUGUGCAUGUAGAUCUGAAGGACAAAAAAUGUUCCAGAGAAAUUUCUACAUCUCUAA